Molecule: non-coding RNA, 557 nt
Organism: Arachis ipaensis
Lineage: Eukaryota; Viridiplantae; Streptophyta; Magnoliopsida; Fabales; Fabaceae
Source: RefSeq, a predicted model, not a curated record
UUGUAUAUAUUAAGUGAAAAGGUAGUUUAAUUUAAUUUGUUAUAGGGGAAACUUCAUUCUUUUGUGGGAAGGAAAGAGCAAUUGGAACGUGUGAUUAAGAUAAUUUGUAGAUUAACGAAGAACAACCCUUGUCUUGUUGGAGAACCUGGAGUUGGCAAAACAGCAAUCAUAGAGGGCCUUGCUCACAGGAUUUUGAGUGGCUCUGUUCCUCAAAAUCUCAGAGGAAAGAAGGUAAUCAAAUUGGACGUUGCUAAUCUUUUGUAUGUUAUACAAAGUCAAGGAGAUUUCGAGAAUAUCAUUAAGCGUAUAAUUAAGGAAGUUGGGCAAAGUGGGGAUGUGCUACUUUUUGUGAAAGAGGUUCAAAACAUUUUUGAAACAUCAUCUUCGGCCCAAAAUUUUGCAUACCAUUUGGGACAUGCCCUUGAAAGAGGUGUUAUUCAGGCAUCAAUUCUUCUGCGGAGGCAAAUGUAAGCCAAGAACCUGAAGCACAUAGCCAUGGCUAGCACAACCCAAACUUCUUUCAAGCCACCUUUCAAGUUAACAGUGCUAAAUGUUGG